Molecule: RNA transcript, 1000 nt
Organism: Arachis stenosperma
Lineage: Eukaryota; Viridiplantae; Streptophyta; Magnoliopsida; Fabales; Fabaceae
Gene name: chlorophyll synthase, chloroplastic-like
Exons: 6
Source: RefSeq, a predicted model, not a curated record
UUUAUCACUUACAGCAUUAGAACACCCCCAGUAAUCUAAUUCUAAAGUGUUCUGGGGGUGGAACCUUUGAAGCUACUUCCUCGGUUUCAGAAUUACAAGCUCCUAUCUUCCUAAAAUAAUGGCUUCGCUUUCUCUCAACGUGGUUUCAGUUCCACCAAGAACAACAACAAUCUCAAGCACAAGAACAAGGGUGCCUUCACUUCCUUUCUCAUUCACUAGUAGGUUGACUCACCACAGCACUUUCUGGUUUUCUUGGUUGUUGAAAGACUACAACAUUGGGUUUUGCAAAGUGCCAUUUUUAGUGUUCUUAGGGAGGAGGUUAACUAUUAGAGCAACAGAAACCGAUACAAAUAAUGUUAAGUCUCAGGCACCGGAUAAGGCUCCUUCGAAAGACGGUUCAAGCAUCAAUCAGCUUCUUGGUAUUAAAGGAGCUGCUCAAGAAUCAAAUAAAUGGAAGAUUCGCCUUCAACUUACAAAACCUGUCACUUCAGUCUAUUAGACGUAUGGGUGGGCUGGUCAGGCUUUGUUUGGGACACUCACAUCAGACAUUAUUGUCCUGACGUUGCUAUACAGCAUUGCUGGAUUGGGCAUUGCCAUCGUCAACGACUUCAAGGGUGUUGAAGGGGAUAGAGCUCUUGGGCUUCAGGUCAAUUCUGUUACCCUCUUCCUUUCCAUUACUGUAACAUGAAAUUUCAAUUUUUUUCAGAAAUUUUGGUCUUGCAAAUUCACUAACACUCAAGUUGAUGCUCUUACCUUUUCUAUUGGCAAUCUAAUAUGCACAGUCUCUUCCGGUUGCUUUCGGUACUGAAACUGCAAAAUGGAUCUGUGUUGCUGCUAUUGACAUUAAGAUUACACAAUUAUCUGUCGCUGUAUAUUUUUUAUCCCUCCAAUACUUAGAUAUUUGAUCUGCAUUCCAAGGUUCUUUUUCGUUUUAAUGUACAUUGUACUCUAUCUGGAAAUUAUUCAUCAUACUAAACCAUUAUUCUGUAUCUUUAUUAUU